Choloepus didactylus (southern two-toed sloth) is the source of this 705-nucleotide long non-coding RNA. RefSeq lists it as uncharacterized. The record is from RefSeq and is a predicted model, not a curated record. The transcript has 3 exons. Lineage: Eukaryota; Metazoa; Chordata; Mammalia; Pilosa; Megalonychidae.
AUCCCUCUCUUCUUCCAUGAAACCAGGGCCAGCGCCUGGGGCAUUUGUUCCCUCCCUUCUCAGGCUGUGGCUGGUUUGUAAAGGAUCAGAGAAAAGCUGUCUCCAAGGACUGCCGCUGCAGUCCACGUGACCAGGAUGAAAGUCAUUAACAAAAGGCGGAAAAGCCUCUGCUGUCCUCUCAGGGACUCAGAUGGAGGUCAGUGAGAUGCCCAGAGCGAUAAAUAAGGAGGGAACAAAGAAUAAACCCCCAAAAGCGUUUACGCUGAGAUGAAAAGGCAUUGCUAAACGCUAACCCGCUAACCGCCAAGACUUGUGUACAGGAACCACAUGUCUGGGGAUGCUCUGGAAUGUCACAAACUGCAGGGACACGAGCUGAGGUCAGGACAGACUUUCUGGAGGAGGUGCCACCAAGGACAAGGCAGAAAGCACAGUGGUUAGGAACGGCCUGGGUUUGUGUGACCCUGGCCGGCAGCUAUGCUGGCGAGGAGACCCAAGCGGCCCCAUGGAGAUCCACACGAGAAGGAAGGAACCAAUGCUUCUGCCAACAGCCGGCAUCAAGUUACCAGCCCUGUGAGAGAUCCGCCUUGGAAGGACAUCCUCCAGCCCCGGCCAAUACCUUGACUGCAACUUCUCAAGAGACUCCGAACCCCCAAUGCCUGACCCACAGAAACUGAGUGAGAUAAUAAAUGUUUAUUGUUGUUUUAA